This is a long non-coding RNA of Felis catus (domestic cat), 5490 nucleotides long. RefSeq lists it as uncharacterized. The transcript is spliced from 7 exons. Lineage: Eukaryota; Metazoa; Chordata; Mammalia; Carnivora; Felidae. The record is from RefSeq and is a predicted model, not a curated record.
GAUCUGUCAGCACAGAGCCCAACGCGGGGCUCGAACUCACAGAUCAUGAGAUCAUGACCUGAGCCAAAGUCAGAUGCUUAACCAAGUGAGCCACCCAGGCGCCCCUCUUUUGUCUUUAGAGUUAAAAUACGUAUAUUAAAAAUGUUGUUAUCCACAAUGACUUGGAUUAGUUCUUUUUUUUCUUUGUCUCCUUAAAUAGGGUUAUGUUAUUCAUUUCUAAUAGAAUUAGGCUCAUUUGUUGCUGUUUAUAUUUCCAUUAUGACUUUCUCCAAGUCUUGCUUAAUUUUUAACAUUUAUUUGUAUUUUGUGUAUGUGAAACAAUGUCAUUGUUCUAAAAAUCAGAACUGUGUGUGAAGAUAAACUUAGAGAUAAUCCCACUCAUCCAUUUUACCUGUUCCUUUUCCUCCAUUCCUUCCAUUCUGUUCCUACCCCUGUAGUUUCCCAAUUUCAUUUGCUUCUAGUUUAUCCUUUCUAUGUAACUUUUUGCUAAAGCUGGCAGAUAUAUGUAUAUUUCCUUAUAUUUCCCUUUACUUUUUCUUACACGCAUGGCAAAAUACUAUAGCUACUCUUUUGCAUUUUGCUGUUUUCUCUUAACCAUGUAUUAUGGAUGUCACUCUAUAUCAGUUCAUAAAGAUUUUUCUUAUUCUUUUUUUAAUAGCUGCAUAAUUCUCUGUGGAUGUAGCAUGAUUUAUUCAUCACCAUUCUAUUUAUGGGCAUUUUAGUUGUUUCUAAUAUUUCACAAUUAUAAACAGUGCUGCAAUGAAUAACCCUGUACAUGUAUUUUUCUAUUGUUGUAAGUGUAUCUUCAGGGUAAAUUCCUAGAAGUGGAAUAAUUAGGUCAAAAGGUAAAUGUAUAUAUAGUUUUGUUAGACAUUGUCAAAUUCCUCUCCAAAAGGGUGUAUCAGUAAUGUAUGAAAGUGCAUGCCUUUCCACAGUCUCACAACAGAAUGCAUUCUCAUGCUUUUAAAUUUUUAUUAAUCUGGCUUGUGCAAUACACUUUAUAUUUCUUGAUUUUUAAACCAUUAACUAACUGCAUUACCUAUUAAAAUUAAAAAGAAAUUAAAACCAAAAAAAAUCUUGUUUGUGCAAACCUUCUUUUUAAUUCUCUUAAAAUUUACUGUUGAUUUGGAACUAACACUGUAAGAAUUCCUCAAGGCACCUGAGUGGCUCAGUCAUUUUAGGGACUAACUUCGGCUCAGGUCAUGAUCUCACAGUUUGUGAAUUCAAGCCCCGUUUUGGGUUCUGUGCUGACAGUGUGGAUCCUGCUUGGGAUUUACUCUCUCUGCCUCUCUCUCUGCCCCUCCCUUGCUCACACACUCUCUCUCUUUCAAAAAAAAAUAAACAUUAAAAAAUAAUAAAAUUAUACAAAAGAAUUCCUCUUCAUUGUUUAGGGUCUAUCAGAUGAUUUUUUGAAAUCUUGUCAUUUUAUGAAUUUUUUUUGGUCAGAAUCAUAAAAUUUGCUCUAUCCAUUCACUGACUACCUAUUGAAAAAAUAUCUUGAGUGGCCUCUAUUUCCCAGACUAUAUGGUAAGACAUAGUACUUGCCCUCAAGUUGCUUACUGACAGAGAGGAACAUGUUAGCAAAUAAAUGGACAAUUAUGAGAUAGACACAGCUCUACAUGGAGAAGCCCUUCCAGUGAGGGAAGACAGCCAGGUAUAUUCUGAAAUUGCAAGUAGUUUAAUGCAAUUGGCAUAUAGAAUUCAAGUAUGUGCUCAUAGAUGUGGUGCGAUGAGACAGGAGCAGAGAGAAAUAUGGUUCGAGAGGCAUGUUGAGAAGCUUAGAUAUCAUCUAGAGGACAAAGACUUACUAAAAAGUUUUAAACAGAAUAGAGGUAUGAUCAGGAUUUUUAUUACAGCAAGCACAAUGAGGGGUUGCCAAAGAACUUCUGGUUUAUCCUCAAAGUGUUAAACUAUAUCGUAUACACAGAGUUCUACUAGGUCAUACAAAAGAAAGGAAUAAUCCCUAAAACCAGAAUUGACUGUGAUCUUCUAGAAGGAAGUAACCUCUUUAAGAAAAAAUGGUUCCAUCAGAAUGUCAUCGGCAAUGAAACAAGGUGAAGGAAGAUGGCAUCUGAGAGGAAGCCUUUGCCUGCUUUGGUGGUUUAAAGUGCGUCCUUUAUUCAGAAAAGGAGCUGCUCUUGGUGUCUGGGCUUUUCCAGUAGAAUUUCAACAACACUAGUGAUUAAGGUGUUGAAAACCAAGACCAUCUAUACCUGUAACAGCUUAUGGUUUACAUUACCAUGACUUUAAAAUUCAGAUGCUUCAUAAAUGGGUAAGGGGCAUUAGGGACUCUACUCCUGAAAUCAUUAUUGCACCGUAUGCUAAUUUGGAUGUAAAUUAACUAAUAAAUAAAUGAAAAAAAUAAAAAAAAUUCAGAUGCUUCAUUAAUGUGACUUUAUUAUUCCACUCUCUUCAUCAAACUGAUUUUACUGUUUCAGAAAUUUGCCUGGGAAGAUCAAGUUGCUAAUAACUUUAGUGUUCAUUUCAGAAAGUUCCUGAAAAUCCUUUUAAACUGAUAUUAGGCUACUCAAAUAAAGCAACAUUAAAGGACUGUUUACUCCUCAAAACUGCUUUGAAGCCCUUUCUUUUUAAACCUCCCCCAUUUUGUGUCUACCAAUCUUAAACUAUUAGAUCGUAGAUUUGCCCAAUCAUAAUGAAACCCCUCUUCUCACACCAAAAGAUCCAUCUUAAACCAAACUUCCCAUAUCUUAUACAUAUCUGAUCUUUAUUUUACCUCUUCUGAAACUCCACCAAGAUUCUUGUCAAAGUAGUGGUCUCACUUACUGUGGCAAGCAAUAAACUCAAGUUUGCUUUAUGAAAAGGUUAUUUUGGUGAUGUUUUCAGGAAAUAAAGUACCUAUGAGAGUCAUUUCCUAUUCUAUCUACAAAUGAUGCUUUUUGCAAUAAAUGGUGACCAGUAGUUUGGAACCAUAAGCCUAAAUUGACAAUCCAAGAAUAUCUCAGUUAACUUACUAAUUUUUUGUCUUUCUUUCAACCUGGCACGUGACAUUUAUAGCCAGAGACCUCAAGGAAUGUCAUUGUGCCCCCUCAUAAUUAUUGUUUUUCAAAUUAGUGAAUUUGGAAAUGUAUAAUCAUUUCAGAAAGAAAUAAGUGACCUAUGUAUCCUAGCCAAUCAUCCUACACCAACCAAGAAAGAUUUUUGAAAAAAAAAAAAAAGCUGUAUAGAUUUUAUGUAAAUUUGGUAUUUAUGAACACCAAAGUUUUAGCACUGACAUCUGCCUGAGAAGAAACUUCAUUUACAGCAGUGGCAGAAAUGAAGUUCACUGUGAACUAGUUUUGGAUACCAUAUGCUUUAACAUGCAGAAGAGGAGGGGAAAAGAGGCAUCCUACAAACAGAUUUUUCUUGCUCUCACUGUGUAUGAUGUUGCAUGACAACAUUGUGACAUCAUAACUUAGGCUAUUUUAUUUGCUGUUGCACCAAUAUAGCGCCAAGGCGUGGAGUAGCACCUUUGGAUGUAUACGGUGCUUUCCUUUCAUGAAACUUAAGGCACUUCGCAGGCAUUUUCUUUCUAAACCUCACAACAUCUCUCAAAGCUUAAAAAAAAGAAGGAAAUCCUGUAUAUGUGACACCAUGGACGAAAUUGGAGGACAUUAUGCUAACUGAAAAAGGCCAGUCACAGAAAGACAACUACUGUAUGCUUCUGCUUAUAUGAGGUAAAGUGAGGAGUUGGGAAAGAAAGGAAAACAUAAGAUGAGAUCUCUCUAUGAACAAGUGACGGUUUGAAGUGGGUCACCUCAUUGCCAUCGCAUAAGCACCUUAUUGCACCAACCCAAGGAAUCACCUGCAAGUGAACAGUGAAGGUUCAAUAAGGAUGGAAAAGAGUACUGAUAGCAAUUUGGAAGCAAAUCUAAGGAGUGCAUACUUUUCAUUAAAAGGUUAUUUCGUGCUUCCUCUCUUCCACACGAUCAAGAUCUUCAAAGUAAGCAUCUUUCAAAGGAACGACAAGCAAAAUACAGCUGCAGGAUCAGUAACUCCCUGUUAAGCAGCUUUGCCUGCUGUCACUAUUGACUGCUGGAGGUGGUGAUCCGUGUCAGUCACUAAAACGACACCUUGGCAAGACUGCAAUCUGCUCCCAGGGUUUUUGUGUAUGGGAACACUUAGAUAAUGAGAUUUUCAUAUAUUCCCAGCAGCUCACACGGUGCCUGGAAAAGAGUCCCCCAGAGCCUCAGAAAACUGAGGGCAGCCCGUGUCAAGGGAACUCAGUGAUGGUGAUUCAUGGUUCCUGACUCCUUCCUAAACUGCUUUCUGGAUUCUCUUUGUCCACAGUCUUUCCUAGGCAUGGGCAUGUGCAUUGACAAGUAACAUGCAGAAGCAGGACACUGUCCUUACCUCAUAAGAGUCAACUUCUACACUAGCCUUAGAGCCAUCAGAAAAUAGAGAGGAAAAGCAUGGGAGGCUAGAGGACCUGCGAAGUUGUUUCUAAAGGUGAGAAUUUACAAACUUUUUCUUGUUUCAUAUGCAAAAAGGAACCCAAAUUGAAGACUUUUCACCACAAGUUCGCACAAUAGUAGGUAGCUUGGGUUUUGAAGUGAAAAUGACCUGUGUCUCUGAAACAUAGUUCUACCAUGUAAUGGCUAUACAAUCUUGAAUAAAUGGUGAAAUCUUCCCCAGACUUCCUUUUCUCAUCUGUAAAAUGAGGAUUUUGACAGUAUCUACCUCAUAGGUGUGAAAAUUAAUGAGAUAAGGUCUGAAAAUUGCUUAGCAUAGUGUGGAGCACAUAAAAAACAUUCGAUAAACCUCUUUCCAAAAAAGUGUUUUGGAAAUUUAACCUGGCACUGACAUAGAAGUUUAAUUUGCAGUUGAGAUUGUGGAAGUUUAGGAAAUUGCUUCAUUGUAAAAAAAAAUUGGGAAUUUUAUAAAAUGCUAAUGCAUUUUACAUGUAAGUCUUAUAUGUAAGUCUUAACCUACAUAGGCCUUCCAGAUCAGUUGUGCCAAAAAGGAGAGAAAGCAUUUUCAUACUAUUCUUGGACAUAAUUAUCCAUAGAUUUGUCAAAAGAGAGCUGCUCAAUAUGAUCUGGUAGCUCCUGCUUCCAUUGGGGUGCUUUCACAUGUCUUCAUUGAGGUAAAAUAUGUUUUAAAAGAAAAAGAUGUAGCUUUGUUCUUUGCAAAGUUUUGUAAACAUUUUAAAGCUUUUGUAAAUGUUUGAUUAUUAUUUAUUAUGUAUUGAUUAUUGUAAGCAUUCAACUGAGAGUGAGAUUGGAACUGAAUUUUUUUUUGAAUGGGGUAAAAAGAUUAGAGAAUGAGGACCUGUUUAUUAUUAUUACCUCGUUUAAAAAACUUAUUUAGGAAUCUGAAUUGUGAGAAAUUGAGACAGCGUGUUUGGAGAUAAAAUCUCUUCUUCAAGAAUCAGAAUUAAUUAAUUAAAAAUUUUUUAACAUUUAUUUAUUUUGAGAGAGAGAGAAUGCACAUGCACAUGCAAGCGCAUGUGGGGGUAGGGGAGGCAGAGAGACAGAGAGAGUGUCCCAAGCA